CUUGGUCAUUUAGAGGAAGAAAAGUCGUAACAAGGUUUCCGUUGGUGAACCAGCGGAAGGAUCAUUACGAGAUCGUGCCCUUCGGGGUAGACCUCCCACCCUGUGUUAUUUACCUUUUUGCUUUGGCGGGCUCGCCCGCCAGAGAAUUAUUCACCCUGUGUUUAGUUUGUCCGAGUAAAUAUAUAAUAAGUUAAAACUUUCAACAACGGAUCUCUGGUUCUGGCAUCGAUGAAGAACGCAGCGAAAUGCGAUAAGUAAUGUGAAUGCAGAAUUCAGUGAAUCAUCGAAUCUUUGAACGCACAUUGCGCCCCUGGUAUUCCUGGGGGCAUGCCUGUCCGAGCGUCAUUUCAACCCUCAAGCACGCUUGGUCUUGGGCCAUGCCGGGAACGGCCGGCCUUAAAACUAGUGGCGUGCCGCCGGGCUCUACGCGUAGUAGUUAUUUCUCGCGUUUGGGUCUCGGGGACGCUGGCCAGCAACCCCCAAUUUUCUAUGGUUGACCUCGGAUCAGGAGGGAUACCCGCUGAACUUAAGCAUAUCAAUAAGCGGAGGAAAGGGCUU
RNAcentral lists this ribosomal RNA (558 nucleotides) under uncultured fungus. Its description in RNAcentral is "eukaryotic LSU rRNA". The stretch from base 195 to 345 matches the Rfam family "5.8S ribosomal RNA". Lineage: Eukaryota; Fungi. The record is from RNAcentral.